GAUGAACGCUGGCGGCGUGCCUAAUACAUGCAAGUCGAGCGAACGGACGAGAAGCUUGCUUCUCUGAUGUUAGCGGCGGACGGGUGAGUAACACGUGGAUAACCUACCUAUAAGACUGGGAUAACUUCGGGAAACCGGAGCUAAUACCGGAUAAUAUUUUGAACCGCAUGGUUCAAAAGUGAAAGACGGUCUUGCUGUCACUUAUAGAUGGAUCCGCGCUGCAUUAGCUAGUUGGUAAGGUAACGGCUUACCAAGGCAACGAUGCAUAGCCGACCUGAGAGGGUGAUCGGCCACACUGGAACUGAGACACGGUCCAGACUCCUACGGGAGGCAGCAGUAGGGAAUCUUCCGCAAUGGGCGAAAGCCUGACGGAGCAACGCCGCGUGAGUGAUGAAGGUCUUCGGAUCGUAAAACUCUGUUAUUAGGGAAGAACAUAUGUGUAAGUAACUGUGCACAUCUUGACGGUACCUAAUCAGAAAGCCACGGCUAACUACGUGCCAGCAGCCGCGGUAAUACGUAGGUGGCAAGCGUUAUCCGGAAUUAUUGGGCGUAAAGCGCGCGUAGGCGGUUUUUUAAGUCUGAUGUGAAAGCCCACGGCUCAACCGUGGAGGGUCAUUGGAAACUGGAAAACUUGAGUGCAGAAGAGGAAAGUGGAAUUCCAUGUGUAGCGGUGAAAUGCGCAGAGAUAUGGAGGAACACCAGUGGCGAAGGCGACUUUCUGGUCUGUAACUGACGCUGAUGUGCGAAAGCGUGGGGGAUCAAACAGG
This 767-nucleotide ribosomal RNA is filed under the name Staphylococcus aureus. RNAcentral's name for it is "bacterial SSU rRNA". It matches the Rfam family "Bacterial small subunit ribosomal RNA", at positions 28 to 776 of the family's 1533-position model. Lineage: Bacteria; Bacillati; Bacillota; Bacilli; Caryophanales; Staphylococcaceae. The record is from RNAcentral.